RNAcentral lists this ribosomal RNA (238 nucleotides) under uncultured bacterium. Its description in RNAcentral is "partial 16S ribosomal RNA". It matches the Rfam family "Bacterial small subunit ribosomal RNA", at positions 104 to 334 of the family's 1533-position model. The record is from RNAcentral.
UGGCGGGACGGGGUGGAGUAAUGUCUGGGAAACUGCCUGAUGGAGGGGGGUAACUACUGGAAACGGUAGCUAAUACCGCAUAACGUCGCAAGACCAAAGAGGGGGACCUUCGGGCCUCUUGCCAUCGGAUGUGCCCAGAUGGGAUUAGCUAGUAGGUGGGGUAACGGCUCACCUAGGCGACGAUCCCUAGCUGGUCUGAGAGGAUGACCAGCCACACUGGAACUGAGACACGGUCCAG